This is a long non-coding RNA of Pongo pygmaeus (Bornean orangutan), 513 nucleotides long. RefSeq lists it as uncharacterized. Lineage: Eukaryota; Metazoa; Chordata; Mammalia; Primates; Hominidae. The record is from RefSeq and is a predicted model, not a curated record. The transcript has 4 exons.
GACAGGGUCUCAUUAUUGUUGCCCAGGCUCGUCUCAAACUCCUGGCUCAAAUGAUCCUCCCACCUCAGCCUCCCGUAUAGCUGGGAUUACAGGUGCAUGCCACCAAGUCCAGGUUUACUAAAUAAAUGGCACAAACCCAUAAGGACAAAGAGACUUGGAGUGGAGGAAACACCAAGGAAAAAUGGAAAGAUGGAAAGCUGACGGAUGAGUGUGAGCUGACCCAGCAGAUUCAGUGAGGCCAACACCUAAGCUGGCAGUGAGGGAAAGUUCCAGUUGGGUCACAUAUCCAUCUCUGAGUCUGUCACUGGGAGAAUGGGAUGCUUUUCUGGACUAGGCCUGACUUACAUACCCAUCUGGGACAACCGGACUUUCUAUGGGUACAGCUUCAUCUGUAUGUGGACAGAGACUGAAGAAUGGAGUACUCCAGCACUUUCACAGUCAUUUACGGCAUCUGCAGAGCAGUGAAAAAUUUGAAUUGCCUGAGAUACAUGCUCCCUGCUGAAGUCGCACAAG